UACGAAGGGGGCUAGCGUUGCUCGGAAUUACUGGGCGUAAAGCGCACGUAGGCGGCUCUUUAAGUCGGAGGUGAAAUCCUGGAGCUCAACUCCAGAACUGCCUUCGAUACUGAAGAGCUCGAGUCCGGGAGAGGUGAGUGGAACUGCGAGUGUAGAGGUGAAAUUCGUAGAUAUUCGCAAGAACACCAGUGGCGAAGGCGGCUCACUGGCCCGGUACUGACGCUGAGGUGCGAAAGCAUGGGGAGCAAACAGG
RNAcentral lists this ribosomal RNA (253 nucleotides) under uncultured bacterium. RNAcentral's name for it is "partial 16S ribosomal RNA". It matches the Rfam family "Bacterial small subunit ribosomal RNA", at positions 524 to 776 of the family's 1533-position model. The record is from RNAcentral.